UAAGGAAUAUUGGUCAAUGGACGGAAGUCUGAACCAGCCAUGCCGCGUGGAGGAUGAAGGCCCUCUGGGUUGUAAACUUCUUUUAUUUGGGACGAAACACUCUUUUUCUAAAGAGCUUGACGGUACCAGAUGAAUAAGCACCGGCUAACUCCGUGCCAGCAGCCGCGGUAAUACGGAGGGUGCAAGCGUUAUCCGGAUUCACUGGGUUUAAAGGGUGCGUAGGCGGAUUUGUAAGUCCGUGGUGAAAUCUCUAAGCUUAACUUGGAAAUUGCCGUGGAUACUAUAAGUCUUGAAUAUUGUGGAGGUUAGCGGAAUAUGUCAUGUAGCGGUGAAAUGCAUAGAUAUGACAUAGAACACCAAUUGCGAAGGCAGCUGGCUACACAACUAUUGACGCUGAGGC
Molecule: ribosomal RNA, 400 nt
Filed under: uncultured bacterium
Lineage: Bacteria
Description: bacterial SSU rRNA
Rfam family: Bacterial small subunit ribosomal RNA
Source: RNAcentral